GCGUUUGUGGUUUAGUGGUAAAAUCCAUCGUUGCCAUUCAAGGAGAUUUCCUAUCUCUUGAACAGUCUCGAUGGGCCCCGGGUUCGAUUCCCGGCGAACGCA
Non-coding RNA from Hyaloscypha hepaticicola, 102 nucleotides. The record is from the annotation of a GenBank genome assembly. NCBI's taxonomy places the organism in Eukaryota, Fungi, Ascomycota, Leotiomycetes, Helotiales, Hyaloscyphaceae.